UUCCUACGGGGGGCAGCAGUGAGGAAUAUUGGUCAAUGGGCGGGAGCCUGAACCAGCCAAGCCGCGUGAGGGAAGAAGGUACAGCGUAUCGUAAACCUCUUUUGUCAGGGAACAAAGGCGGGGACUAGUCCCCGGAUGAGGGUACCUGAAGAAAAAGCAUCGGCUAACUCCGUGCCAGCAGCCGCGGUAAUACGGAGGAUGCGAGCGUUAUCCGGAUUUAUUGGGUUUAAAGGGUGCGCAGGCGGCGAGUUAAGUCAGCGGUAAAAUUUCGGGGCUCAACCCCGACAAGCCGUUGAAACCG
Molecule: ribosomal RNA, 301 nt
Filed under: uncultured bacterium
Lineage: Bacteria
Description: bacterial SSU rRNA
Rfam family: Bacterial small subunit ribosomal RNA
Source: RNAcentral